AGUCAGGAGGCUCCUGAUCUUGCUAAUGGGUUGAAAGCUGAUUAGGUGGAUUGAAAAGAUUUAGAAACAUUGAGAAUAUUGCCAUUAGCCAAUUCCACAGCAUUAUAUNNNNNNNNNNAAUCAGAAACAAAACUGAUUCAAUUAGCUAAUUAACAUGUUUGAUUGACAUGAUCAAGCAGCAUGUUGUAUUAUUUGCAUUUUUGGCAAUGGCUGUCCAUUUGUUGCUGUUACAUCUGCUCCGUUUGGUGUAAGCUACUAAAAUAAGGA
RNAcentral lists this unclassified non-coding RNA (267 nucleotides) under Hevea brasiliensis (rubber tree). The record is from RNAcentral. Lineage: Eukaryota; Viridiplantae; Streptophyta; Magnoliopsida; Malpighiales; Euphorbiaceae.